RNAcentral lists this ribosomal RNA (497 nucleotides) under uncultured bacterium. RNAcentral's name for it is "partial 16S ribosomal RNA". It matches the Rfam family "Bacterial small subunit ribosomal RNA", at positions 28 to 507 of the family's 1533-position model. The record is from RNAcentral.
GAUGAACGCUGGCGGCGUGCCUAAUACAUGCAAGUCGAGCGAACAGACGAGGAGCUUGCUCCUCUGACGUUAGCGGCGGACGGGUGAGUAACACGUGGAUAACCUACCUAUAAGACUGGGAUAACUUCGGGAAACCGGAGCUAAUACCGGAUAAUAUAUUGAACCGCAUGGUUCAAUAGUGAAAGACGGUUUUGCUGUCACUUAUAGAUGGAUCCGCGCUGCAUUAGCUAGUUGGUAAGGUAACGGCUUACCAAGGCAACGAUGCGUAGCCGACCUGAGAGAGUGAUCGGCCACACUGGAACUGAGACACGGUCCAGACUCCUACGGGAGGCAGCAGUAGGGAAUCUUCCGCAAUGGGCGAAAGCCUGACGGAGCAAAGCCGCGUGAGUGAUGAAGGUCUUCGGAUCGUAAAACUCUGUUAUUAGGGAAGAACAAAUGUGUAAGUAACUAUGCACGUCUUGACGGUACCUAAUCAGAAAGCCACGGCUAACUACGUG